This 477-nucleotide ribosomal RNA is filed under the name uncultured soil bacterium. Its description in RNAcentral is "bacterial SSU rRNA". It matches the Rfam family "Bacterial small subunit ribosomal RNA", at positions 26 to 518 of the family's 1533-position model. The record is from RNAcentral.
AGGACGAACGCUGGCGGCGUGCUUAACACAUGCAAGUCGAACGGUGAACCUCCUUCGGGAGGGGAUCAGUGGCGAACGGGUGAGUAACACGUGAGCAACCUGCCCUUAGUUCUGGGAUAACCCCGGGAAACCGGGGCUAAUACCGGAUACGAGUCCGAGCGGCAUCACACGGACUGGAAAGUUUUUCGGCUAAGGAUGGGCUCGCGGCCUAUCAGCUUGUUGGUGGGGUAAUGGCCCACCAAGGCGACGACGGGUAGCCGGCCUGAGAGGGCGACCGGCCACGACUGGGACUGAGACACGGCCCAGACUCCUACGGGAGGCAGCAGUGGGGAAUAUUGCGCAAUGGGCGAAAGCCUGACGCAGCGACGCCGCGUGGGGGGACAAGGCCUUCGGGUGUAAACCGUCUUUCAGCAGGGAAGAAGCGAAAGUGACGGUACCUGCAGAAGAAGCACCGGCUAACUACGUGCCAGCAGCCGC